Molecule: transfer RNA, 60 nt
Filed under: Pseudomonas aeruginosa SG17M
Lineage: Bacteria; Pseudomonadati; Pseudomonadota; Gammaproteobacteria; Pseudomonadales; Pseudomonadaceae
Description: tRNA-Arg
Source: RNAcentral
GACGCACUCAUAGCUCAGCUGGAUAGAGUACUCGGCUACGAACCGAGCGGUCGGAGGUUC